GGGGAUGUAGCUCAGAUGGUAGAGCUUAGCAUGCGAUAAGUACUGGGAUCAAUACCCAGCAUCUCCA
Molecule: non-coding RNA, 67 nt
Organism: Cordylochernes scorpioides
Lineage: Eukaryota; Metazoa; Arthropoda; Arachnida; Pseudoscorpiones; Chernetidae
Source: the annotation of a GenBank genome assembly